ACUGUCCUACGGGACGCAGCAGUGGGGAAUAUUGCACAAUGGGGGAAACCCUGAUGCAGCGACGCCGCGUGAGUGAAGAAGUAAUUCGCUAUGUAAAGCUCUCUCAGCAGGGAAGAAAAUGACGGUACCUGAGUAAGAAGCCCCGGCUAACUACGUGCCAGCAGCCGCGGUAAUACGUAGGGGGCAAGCGUUAUCCGGAUUUACUGGGUGUAAAGGGAGCGUAGACGGCAGUGCAAGUCUGG
Molecule: ribosomal RNA, 242 nt
Filed under: uncultured bacterium
Lineage: Bacteria
Description: partial 16S ribosomal RNA
Rfam family: Bacterial small subunit ribosomal RNA
Source: RNAcentral